AAGUCUAUAUAGCUCCGAUUGAUGAGCUAUUUAUUGUGUUAGAGAGCUGGUGAUAUCCUGGAGGUGCAAAAAGGCUUCAAACGAGGUUUUAGAGAGCUUUUGUGAGGAUUUUGGGGUUUUUUGUUAAGAGACUCUUGUACAAGGAUUGAGUGGUGAGUUCGUCUUGUAUUGAUUGUAUUUUAUUCUCUCAUAGUAAAGCUUGCACACCCC
This 210-nucleotide long non-coding RNA is filed under the name Elaeis guineensis (African oil palm). RNAcentral describes it as "long non-coding RNA (EGUI_LNC025848)". The record is from RNAcentral. Lineage: Eukaryota; Viridiplantae; Streptophyta; Magnoliopsida; Arecales; Arecaceae.